RNAcentral lists this ribosomal RNA (1179 nucleotides) under Arthrobacter ginsengisoli. RNAcentral's name for it is "bacterial SSU rRNA". Lineage: Bacteria; Bacillati; Actinomycetota; Actinomycetes; Micrococcales; Micrococcaceae. The record is from RNAcentral.
GGGGUGGAAAGCUUUAUUGKGGUUUUGGAUGGACUCSCGGCCUAUCASCUUGUUGGUGAGGUAAUGGCUCACCAAGGCRACRACGGGUAGCCGGCCUGARAGGGUGACCGGCCACACUGGGACUGAGACACGGCCCARACUCCUACGGGAGGCAGCAGUGGGGAAUAUUGCACAAUGGGCGAAAGCCUGAUGCARCGACGCCGCGUGAGGGAUGACGGCCUUCGGGUUGUAAACCUCUUUCARUAGGGAAGAAGCGAAAGUGACGGUACCUGCAGAAGAAGCGCCGGCUAACUACGUGCCAGCAGCCGCGGUAAUACGUAGGGCGCAAGCGUUAUCCGGAAUUAUUGGGCGUAAAGAGCUCGUAGGCGGUUUGUCGCGUCUGCCGUGAAARUCCGGGGCUCAACUCCGGAUCUGCGGUGGGUACGGGCAGACUAGAGUGAUGUAGGGGAGACUGGAAUUCCUGGUGUAGCGGUGAAAUGCGCAGAUAUCAGGAGGAACACCGAUGGCGAAGGCAGGUCUCUGGGCAUUAACUGACGCUGAGGAGCGAAAGCAUGGGAGCGAACAGGAUUAGAUACCCUGGUAGUCCAUGCCGUAACGUUGGGCACUAGGUGUGGGGGACAUUCCACGUUUUCYGUACSGUAGMUAACGCAYUAAGUGCYCCGCCUGGGGAGUACGGCCGCAAGGSUAAAACUCAAAGGAAUUGACGGGGGCCCGCACAAGCGGCGGAGCRUGCGGAUUAAUUYGAUGCAACGCGAAGAACCUUACCAAGGCUUGACAUGAACCGGAAAUACCUGGAAACASGUKCCCCGCUUGCGGUCGGUUUACAGGUGGUGCAUGGUUGUCGUCAGCUCGUGUCGUGAGAUGUUGGGUUAAGUCCCGCAACGAGCGCAACCCUCGUUCUAUGUUGCCAGCGCGURAUGGCGGGGACUCAUAGGAGACUGCCGGGGUCAACUCGGAGGAAGGUGGGGACGACGUCAAAUCAUCAUGCCCCUUAUGUCUUGGGCUUCACGCAUGCUACAAUGGCCGGUACAAAGGGUUGCGAUACUGUGAGGUGGAGCUAAUCCCAAAAAGCCGGUCUCAGUUCGGAUUGGGGUYUGCAACUCGACCCCAUGAAGUCGGAGUCGCUAGUAAUCGCAGAUCAGCAACGCUGCGGUGAAUACGUUCCCGGGCCUUGUACAC